UCAGUCACUGUGGGGACAGGCCUCCCUUCUGGAACAUUCUGUAUGGAGUCAGGAUACAGCCCCUGACCUGAAGGGGUCACGUGAUGUAUUCCCCAAGAUUGGAGGUUAUAGAAAAAGGAAGGAGCUGUGACGUAUGACCUGCCCAUGGAGAGACUCAUGUGACAAAGACCUGAUUGGAGGGUCUUGAUCAACAGACAGAGAGGAAGUGAGGCCCCCCAGACCAACAGCUUACAGAGUCCUGCUCAUAACAUGGAAGUAAGUAGGGAGCAGAUCCUCCCCGGUCAAGACUCAGUUGAGCCCACAACCACAGGGUCCUGAGAACUUGGGGCAGUCACCAGUUGGUGAUCAAUGGAUCGUGGUCUAGCAUGCAGAAGUGAGUGAGUGGAGAAAAGCAGCAGAGCUGGUGGGUUGUGAAGACAUGUGUUUGAAGGCUGCCACACUCUCUACUCCAGGGAAGCAGCUGUGAUGUAUGACCUGCACAUGGAGAGACUCAUGUGACAAAGAGCUGAGGGAGGGUCCUGAUCAACAAAGAGGAAAUGAAGCCCCUAAGUCCAGCAGCUCUCAGAGUCCUGCUCAUAACAUGGAAGUGAAUAGGGAGCAGAUCUCCUGAGUCAGGACUCAGUUGAGACAACCACCACAGGCUCCUGAGAACUUGGGGCAGUUCCCAGAUUGUGACCUCCUGGGGACAGGGACCACGUGGGUCAUUUUCAGAACCAGCUCCUGGACCACCCGCUGAUGUUGAUCCUGAUCCUGCACUAACACUGGAGCCCCACAGUCCACCAACUAUUCUGUCACCAGCUCCAUCACCAGCAUCAGAUGGACAGGCAGCUGGAGGCGUAGAUUUCAAUCCUGGGCCACCUCCAGAAAUGGCUCCCAGAUGACCUGCUGAUGUCGAUCCUGUUCCUGCUCAACAUAAGAGCUCU
Long non-coding RNA from Loxodonta africana (African savanna elephant), 923 nucleotides. RefSeq lists it as uncharacterized. The transcript has 5 exons. Lineage: Eukaryota; Metazoa; Chordata; Mammalia; Proboscidea; Elephantidae. The record is from RefSeq and is a predicted model, not a curated record.